GUAGAUCAUCUGCCCUCAGGCCCGGGAUAGCUGCGGGAAACUGCAGGUAAUACCGGAUAACAUCUCCGGAUCAAAGGUGUGAUUCCGCCUGAGGAUGAGUCUGCAUCCUAUUAGCUAGUUGGCAGGGUAACGGCCUACCAAGGCAUUGAUGGGUAGCGGGUGUGAGAGCACGACCCGCGUCAUUGGGACUGAGACACUGCCCAGACACCUACGGGUGGCUGCAGUCGAGAAUCUUCGGCAAUGGGCGCAAGCCUGACCGAGCGACGCCGCGUGUGGGAUGAAGGCCUUCGGGUUGUAAACCACUGUCAGAGGGGAUGAAAUGCAGGUGGGUUCUCCCAUCUGUUUGACAUAGCCUCAGAGGAAGGACGGGCUAAGUUCGUGCCAGCAGCCGCGGUAAGACGAACCGUCCAAACGUUAUUCGGAAUUACUGGGCUUAAAGGGUGCGUAGGCGGCGCGGUAAGUUGGGUGUGAAAUCCCUCGGCUCAACCGAGGAACUGCGCCCAAUACUACCGUGCUC
This 517-nucleotide ribosomal RNA is filed under the name uncultured Planctomycetota bacterium. Its description in RNAcentral is "bacterial SSU rRNA". It matches the Rfam family "Bacterial small subunit ribosomal RNA", at positions 117 to 643 of the family's 1533-position model. Lineage: Bacteria; Pseudomonadati; Planctomycetota. The record is from RNAcentral.